GCAAAAGUAACUCAAUAGGUAGAGUGUGAUCUUGCCAAGAUCAAAGUUGAGAGUUCAAAUCUCUUCUUCUGCU
Molecule: transfer RNA, 73 nt
Filed under: Ulnaria acus
Lineage: Eukaryota; Bacillariophyta; Fragilariophyceae; Fragilariales; Fragilariaceae
Description: tRNA-Gly
Rfam family: tRNA
About the family: Transfer RNA (tRNA) molecules are approximately 80 nucleotides in length. Their secondary structure includes four short double-helical elements and three loops (D, anti-codon, and T loops). Further hydrogen bonds mediate the characteristic L-shaped molecular structure. tRNAs have two regions of fundamental functional importance: the anti-codon, which is responsible for specific mRNA codon recognition, and the 3' end, to which the tRNAs corresponding amino acid is attached (by aminoacyl-tRNA synthetases). tRNAs cope with the degeneracy of the genetic code in two manners: having more than one tRNA (with a specific anti-codon) for a particular amino acid; and 'wobble' base-pairing, i.e. permitting non-standard base-pairing at the 3rd anti-codon position.
Source: RNAcentral